RNAcentral lists this long non-coding RNA (279 nucleotides) under Oryctolagus cuniculus (rabbit). RNAcentral's name for it is "lncRNA (ENSOCUG00000037074.1)". Lineage: Eukaryota; Metazoa; Chordata; Mammalia; Lagomorpha; Leporidae. The record is from RNAcentral.
AUGAUUAAGAAAGGAGCCAUCUACAGACGCAAGGGAAGCGUCCAGCAUCCAGAGAGGAUGCUCCGUCAUCCACAGCCCAUGUGGCUCUGGCCACCAAGACAGAGCUGUGUGCCUGCAGGAGCCCCACCACUACUGGCACUUGUUGAAUGCCACAGGAGGCGGCAGGGAGAGAUUUGCCAAGUACUGCAGGAGCUGGUUCUACCCUCUCUCUCCCAGGAAGGAAUCUGAGAAAGCAACAACCCCUAUUAUGUGAUAGAAAGCUAGGGAGAAGCUAAAAAA